UAAGGAAUAUUGGUCAAUGGACGAAAGUCUGAACCAGCCAUGCCGCGUGAAGGAUUAAGGUCCUCUGGAUUGUAAACUUCUUUUAUCUGGGACGAAAAAAGGCGAUUCUUCGUCACUUGACGGUACCAGAUGAAUAAGCACCGGCUAACUCCGUGCCAGCAGCCGCGGUAAUACGUAGGAGGCGAGCGUUAUCCGGAUUUACUGGGCGUAAAGUGGGUGUAGGCGGCCCUUCAAGUCGGGUAUGAAAUCUCCUGGCUUAACUAGGAGGAGUUAUCCGAUACUGCUGGGCUAGAGUGCAGCAGAGGGAGGUGGAAUUCCCGGUGUAGUGGUGAAAUGCGUAGAUAUCGGGAGGAACACCAGUGGCGAAAGCGGCCUCCUGGGCUGUUACUGACGCUGAGGCCCGAAAGCGUGGGGAGCGAACAGGAUUAGAUACCCUGGUAGUCCACGCCUUAAACUUUGGACACUAGGUAUGGGGAGUACCGACCCUCUCCGUGCCGAAGCUAACGCGUUAAGUGUCCCGCCUGGGGACUACGGCCGCAAGGUUG
This 545-nucleotide ribosomal RNA is filed under the name uncultured bacterium. RNAcentral describes it as "bacterial SSU rRNA". It matches the Rfam family "Bacterial small subunit ribosomal RNA", at positions 355 to 896 of the family's 1533-position model. The record is from RNAcentral.